GGAAUUUUCCGCAAUGGGCGAAAGCCUGACGGAGCAAUACCGCGUGAGGGAUGAAAGCCUGUGGGUUGUAAACCUCUUUUCUCAAGGAAGAAGUUCUGACAGUACUUGAGGAAUAAGCAUCGGCUAACUCUGUGCCAGCAGCCGCGGUAAUACAGAGGAUGCAAGCGUUAUCCGGAAUCACUGGGCAUAAAGCGUCUGUAGGUGGUUUGAUAAGUCUGCUGUUAAAGACUAGGGCUUAACCCUAGGACAGCAGUGGAAACUGUUAGACUUGAGUGUGGUAGAGGUAGAGGGAAUUCCUAGUGUAGCGGUGAAAUGCGUAGAUAUUAGGAAGAACACCAAUGGCGAAGGCACUCUACUGGGCCAUAACUGACACUGAGAGACGACAGCUAGGGGAGCAAAUGGGAUUAGAUACCCCUGUAGUC
RNAcentral lists this ribosomal RNA (422 nucleotides) under uncultured eukaryotic phytoplankton. RNAcentral describes it as "bacterial SSU rRNA". It matches the Rfam family "Bacterial small subunit ribosomal RNA", at positions 358 to 795 of the family's 1533-position model. The record is from RNAcentral.